UAAAUUAUGCCAACAGUGUAAAGUAGACUUAGCUAUGAUAUCUGCCAUGAAGAGAAAAAAUCUUGGACUCACUGAGGAAAAAGAAUCAAGAGAAAAAUUUGGGCCGAUCAAAGUACAUACCCCCUUCCCCCUUCAAGACCUAAGGCAGAUAAAAACUGACUCUACUGGAAAGUUAGGAGAUAUGCCAGAUUGCCUGGGAUUGGAUCUAUCCAAAGGAGCUAAUCCUGUAAGUAAAAGGGAAACUGAGGAUUCCCAGCAGCUGCCAGAGCCAUUUUCGCUUUGGGGAAUUUCCUCAUUCUUCCCUGCACUGUAAGGAUUGCUCCAUCUCUGUCCACUUAAAAAGAAGGGACACUGAAUGCAGUAAAGUCAGUCACACUGAGACCCUUGAUUUUACACCUAUAGUUGCCCCUCUGUGAAAACAUCUGGUCCACUCAUGGGGAAAUCUAUGGUGCCACUGAUAAGAGUCAUAAUUAAAUGGAAGUUCAAAACCUGGAGAGAUUUUUUUUCUUAUCUGGUCUGUUUUAAAGGUUAUUAUAGGUUGUUUCUUGGGGAUGAUCUUGGCUAAAUGUGUGUCUAAAAGAUGAUUUUUUUAUUGUAACAUCUGGUAUCUAAAUGAGUUUGAAGCAUUGCAUAAUCUUGCAGUUAAAAGUUGGGGUUAGGUAAUUGUUUAGUUUGUGAUUCCAGAUAAUUCAUGCCGGAGAACUUAAAUACUUAGGAUAGAAAAUUGAAAGAAUUCUACUUCCAAGUUGGCAAGUAACUCCCAAUCAUUUAGUUUUAUUUUGAACUGGGUAGCCUGAGAAGAUUUCACUAGGUGUACCAGUGCAUUAACUUGGGCAAGGAUAGUAAAUUAUGAUAUGGUAUCUGUUCCCCUCAGUGUGUAAGAUUUAGGAAAAAAAUGUUGAAUUGGAACGUUGGUCUGGCUUAUUGAAAUAACAAAGAAUAGCAACAGUAUUGGAAAUUUUUAAAAGCUUAAUUUUGGAUAUACAUGGUAGUGUGUGGUUCUCUUUAAGAUUUUUUUUCAGGUGAUUUAAUGUAACUUAAUACUACUUUAGGAACUUCAGAAUAAAGGAAGUGACUUAAUGAUACUAAAGAAAUUUCUUCUGAUGGUAGAGAUCCUAUUUUCAGUUUUGUGUGAGCAAGUUUUUCUAGUGUAGGAAACUGUAAAGGUAUAAAAUUUAUAAAUUGUAUCUUAAACUUGUAUCAUAAUUUUCAACAUCCAAACCUGAAAAUUGUGACUUAUGGUUAAAAUGCCUUAGGCAUGAGGUUUCUGCUCAGAAUUCCAGUUUUCCCAGUUCCUUCCAGACCUCAGCCAGGACUUAAGUUGAUAUGCAAAUAGAAGAAGCCUAGAGCACUCAGUAGGAGACAGAUCUAAGGCCCAAGAAAAAAAAAGAGUAAAAGUGUCUUUUUAUGGGAACUCAAACUAGAUUAAACCAAAGAGUAAAUUAUAUGGUAUUUACUAAUUACUGGCCAGUCAUCUUUUUUCUAGGACUUUUGCUCUUUCUUAGAUUCUGUAUUUUUUGAGCUCAAUGAUUUUGAUCCUACAGACAAGUUAAUGUUUUUCUGAUAAGUUCUAUUUUUGAUCAACUGGAGUUUUUUUUUUUAAACAUUGCAAUGAGAUUUCACCUGAAAAAGCUACAAGGCCUUUACUAUUGUGUUGUGUUACACUUGUGUUACGUGUUGUAUGUUGGUAUGUCUGUGUGUAUGUCCAUAUAUUGUGCAGUGAUAUGACAAUUGACAGAUGAGGAGCGCUCAUGAAAAAUUUUUAAAAAAUGGAUCCAAAUCUUUUGAUUCACGUGAUUCAAAUGGUUCAAUUUAAAUUGGGUAAACAGAUGAAAGUAAAGAUGUCUUUAAAAUUAAGCUUAUAAGUUUUUCUAGAUGUUCAAAAAGGCCCUAAUAAAGUGUUAAAUCUGCUUAAAUUCAAAAAUUUACAAGUAUUGUUUCAAAAUGUGAACAGGAGGAGGUUAACAGAUGAAAAAGAGAAACUAGAAGGUUCUAGAUAUGGAUUUAAUAGAGGGAAAAUGUGUUUCUGGAUAAGAGUCUAUAUGAUUAAGAGGGUUUAAGUAAAUGAUAUAAGAAGGUCUGUGUAAGUUGCUUAUAAGUGUAAGAUUUUGAGCAAGUAAUCUUAAAGAAAUUAAACAGCUGGUCAAACAAGUGCUGUUGUUUUAAAGAAUUGUGCUAUGUUAUUUCUUUAAAAAGCUAAACUUCAUUAAUAUAAAAACAUCAAUGUAAUUGUGGUGUUAAUGUGUCCAUAUCUUCCAGGUAUACAAGUCUGUAGGGUAGAAGUUUUAAAAAGAGCAUUAUAUCAAGCUGGUGUUCUAAAGUUGUAUGGUAAUUUUAGGCUUAAAAAGAAAAACAUGUUGGAGAUUUAUUUACAUCAUUUGUGUUCUAUAACUGGACUUAUUAUCAAUAAGAUAUGUAAAGUUCUAUGUUACUUUUUACACUGAGAUACAAUUUAAAUAUAUUUUUAAGUUAAUGAGAGCCUAAUCUGUGUGAAGGUUUUAUUGCAAAACACAAAAGUACUUUGCUACUUUUCUACAAAAGGUUAAAAGCUUUCAGCCUUUCUUUAAUUCAUGUUUUAGAUGUGAUAUUAUGUUGUGUUUGCUCAAGUUCACAACAAUUUAUGUAGGCUUUGUAAAAUGAUGUUUGAAAAGCAAAGAUCAGUGAUCAGUUUCAGAACUACAGUACUUAAGAUUUAUGAAGAGCCCUGCCUUACUUGAGAUAAGGCUCUGUCCCAUCUCACUACAUUUGAAAGUGACUAUGGAAGAAGUAGGCCAGAUUUCAGUACAUUUAAAGUUGUGUCCAAAAGUUGGUUUUUGUCACGAUUACCAGGAUCUCAAACAGGGAAUUAUGAUGUAUAACCCUGCCAGAAUUCAAGGUAGCUAUUAUAUAAGCUAAAUGUUUUUACUCUUGAUAAUUUUAUUUUGUAGUUUUCUUAUAAAUGAUUUAGGAUUGCCAGUUAAUG
RNAcentral lists this long non-coding RNA (2962 nucleotides) under Marmota monax (woodchuck). The record is from RNAcentral. Lineage: Eukaryota; Metazoa; Chordata; Mammalia; Rodentia; Sciuridae.